Molecule: ribosomal RNA, 194 nt
Filed under: uncultured bacterium
Lineage: Bacteria
Description: partial 16S ribosomal RNA
Rfam family: Bacterial small subunit ribosomal RNA
Source: RNAcentral
CCUACGGGAGGCAGCAGUGGGGAAUUUUGGACAAUGGGCGCAAGCCUAAUCCAGCAAUGCCGCGUGAGUGAAGAAGGCCUUCGGGUUGUAAAGCUCUUUCGGACGGAAAGAAAUCGGCGGGGUGAAUAAUCCUGCUGGAUGACGGUACCGUAAGAAGAAGCACCGGCUAACUACGUGCCAGCAGCCGCGGUAAU